This is a long non-coding RNA of Neopelma chrysocephalum (saffron-crested tyrant-manakin), 1514 nucleotides long. RefSeq lists it as uncharacterized. NCBI's taxonomy places the organism in Eukaryota, Metazoa, Chordata, Aves, Passeriformes, Pipridae. The record is from RefSeq and is a predicted model, not a curated record. The transcript is spliced from 9 exons.
UUUUCUCUUUGCAAGUAAAAGGGCUACCUAAUUAAUUCUGCUUUCAACAUCGGACGUGAAAGCCUGCUUAGGAACCCCCUGCGUGGAAUGGCAGCAGAGAAGAACAAGAAGUGCCUGGUUUGUGUCAGGAGGAACAGGCUGUGCUGUUUUCAGUGCUCUCCUCAGCCUCCCACAGCCACAGAGUCCUUAACAGCAGUCAUUAAACUUCCUAACGUAGACCAGUAUGAGGACUUGUACUGGGAGACAGUCCUUGAAGUCCAGCUAAAAUCUUUCUCCUCUUAGUCAUGGUCGUUCCUCAGAGACACACAGUACUUCCAGAAAAUAUGAACAGAAGCAGAGUUGCCCUGCAAGGGUGUCAGUACUGCUGGAAGCAUUAACAGCUUUAAUGAGGAAAGUAGGGCAGGUUUGAGGGUUUGUAGUUGCUGCUGUGCACAGGUGUCCAGGUGAGAUGCACGCUGGCUUAAAUGGGCAUUUGGGGAAUUCCUAAGGUAGGUGUGACAGCAGUGAACCAAAAUUAUUCAUUAUGGGGAGGGUAGGUGGAAGGAAAACCAGCUUAGAUGUAAUGUUACCAACACCUUUCCUUUAUUCCCAGAAGAAAAUACGUCAGUGACUCUCUUCCACGUUGUCUCCUGAGAUAGAAGACUUCCCAAGGUGUGUGUAGAUUGAAACCAAACACAAAAACCUCCUACUCCAGGUGCUGUUCUCCAGCAAAAAAUUACUCAUCCCAUUCUGUUCCAGCUUUUGAGGAUACAACACCAACUCCCAAAAGGCAUCCUGGAGCCUGUCAUUAUUUUGGGAUACCUCAGCCCCAGCUGGAUUCAGACAGAAGUUAACCAACAGCAUUUAAUUACAGCUACGUCAAAGGCUUGUGUCAAACAGUGUAGUCCAUACAGAAAAUGGAAAGUAAUUGUGUAAGGACUGAAGACCUUAAAUCAUAUAAGUGGAAGGAGUAGAGAGAAUUCAGGUUCAAAGUGGAAGCAGCACCUUAGCACAGCAAAAGCCCCACAGCCUGGCAGGAUUUGGCAUUAUGGAGUGCAAUAGCCAAGGGAAUGAGUUGGAAGAGGCUAAAGUUGCCCAGGAUUUGCACCCACCAUGUAUGACCUUGAUCCUUCAGGGGCAAGGCAGUGUGAAAAGAGAAUGAAUACACGUGAGGGAGCAAAGACAAGGCAUGGGAUCAAGCCAUAAGGAAGUGGGAGCAAAGAAGGCGCUUAGAUUCCAGUAGCGGGAGGUUUUGGAACAGAAGCAAACAGAGGAUAUUGCCACGGUUUGCCUAAAAGUGAGACAGAACAUUUUCCUUACUCCUGAGGGAUGCACAUGGGGAACAGGUAAAAGGAAAAACUGAUAACGCCCUACAUGGAAACAGCCACAUCCCCCAAUAAACAGAGCCUCAUCCCAGCAUUAGAAUGCCAAACAGAUGGAGGAGCCUUUCCUGGGAAUAUGCAUAGGGAAAAAAAUGGCUGAGAAGUAUGGGGUAAGAAAACGCUGCCAAGCUCAACAGGGCCACAGAAAGUGUU